RNAcentral lists this ribosomal RNA (587 nucleotides) under uncultured bacterium. RNAcentral's name for it is "bacterial SSU rRNA". It matches the Rfam family "Bacterial small subunit ribosomal RNA", at positions 338 to 916 of the family's 1533-position model. The record is from RNAcentral.
CCUACGGGAGGCAGCAGUGGGGAAUAUUGCGCAAUGGGGGAAACCCUGACGCAGCAACGCCGCGUGAGUGAGGAAGGACUUCGGUCUGUAAAGCUCUGUUAAUGUGGAAAAAUGGUGGUUGGUCUAAUAGGCCGAUUAUUUGAUGGUACACAUAGAGGAAGCACCGGCUAACUUCGUGCCAGCAGCCGCGGUAAUACGAAGGGUGCAAGCGUUGUUCGGAUUUAUUGGGCGUAAAGCGCGCGUAGGCGGACCUGCAAGUCAGAUGUGAAAUCUCGGGGCUCAACCUCGAAACUGCGUCUGAAACUACAGGUCUAGAAUCUUGGAGGGGGAAGGGGAAUUUCUCAUGUAGGGGUAAAAUCCGUAGAUAUGAGAAGGAACACCAGAGGCGAAGGCGCCUUCCUGGACAAGUAUUGACGCUGAGGCGCGAAAGCGUGGGGAUCAAACAGGAUUAGAUACCCUGGUAGUCCACGCUGUAAACGAUGAAUACUAGAUAUUGCAGGAUUUGACCCCAGCAGUGUCGUAGCUAACGCGUUAAGUAUUCCGCCUGGGAAUACGGUCGCAAGACUAAAACUCAAAGGAAUUGACGG